This 65-nucleotide transfer RNA is filed under the name Rhabdoblattella disparis. RNAcentral describes it as "tRNA-Tyr". It matches the Rfam family "tRNA". Rfam says of the family: Transfer RNA (tRNA) molecules are approximately 80 nucleotides in length. Their secondary structure includes four short double-helical elements and three loops (D, anti-codon, and T loops). Lineage: Eukaryota; Metazoa; Arthropoda; Insecta; Blattodea; Blaberidae. The record is from RNAcentral.
AGUAGAAUGACUGAGGUUUAAGGUGAAGGAUUGUAAAUCCUUUUACGAGUUUUACUCUUCUACUA